UACAGAGGUCCCGAGCGUUGUUCGGAUUCAUUGGGCGUAAAGGGUGCGUAGGCGGCGGGGCAAGUCUGAUGUGAAAUCCUGGGGCUCAACCUCAGAACUGCAUUGGAUACUGCCUUGCUAGAGUACUGGAGAGGGAACUGGAAUUUACGGUGUAGCAGUGAAAUGCGUAGAGAUCGUAAGGAAGGCCAGUGGCGAAGGCGAGUUCCUGGACAGUUACUGACGCUGAGGAGCGAAAGCGUGGGGAGCGAACAGG
Molecule: ribosomal RNA, 253 nt
Filed under: uncultured bacterium
Lineage: Bacteria
Description: partial 16S ribosomal RNA
Rfam family: Bacterial small subunit ribosomal RNA
Source: RNAcentral